RNAcentral lists this long non-coding RNA (219 nucleotides) under Elaeis guineensis (African oil palm). Its description in RNAcentral is "long non-coding RNA (EGUI_LNC034421)". Lineage: Eukaryota; Viridiplantae; Streptophyta; Magnoliopsida; Arecales; Arecaceae. The record is from RNAcentral.
AACACUAUAGAAGCAUUCAUCCAUGUUAAAGCAGACAAAAAUUGAAACAAAAUUUUCUUUAUUUCUUUGAAGCUUAAGAAUUGCAAGGUUAAAGUAGAGAGAAAUUGAAACAAUUUUUUUUUAUUUCUUUGAAGCUUAAGAAUUACAAGACUCUGACUCAAUUAUAGGAUGCAUGGACUUAAAGUAUAAGGAUAUUGGAAGAGAAAAACCUCCCACACC